Molecule: antisense RNA, 508 nt
Filed under: Kutzneria sp. 744
Lineage: Bacteria; Bacillati; Actinomycetota; Actinomycetes; Pseudonocardiales; Pseudonocardiaceae
Description: Saccharopolyspora sRNA 350
Rfam family: Saccharopolyspora sRNA 350
Source: Rfam by way of RNAcentral
UUGGCGGUGAAGUCCCAGCCGGCGUCCGGGUCGACCAGCGCGUCGACGCCGAAGUAGUCGCCGUCGGCCAGCGUGCCCAGCACGGACUCGUCGCCGUACUUGCCGGCGCCGACCUUGUUGACCUUGCCGUGCGCGAUGAGGAAGAUCCGGUCGGCCGCGGCGCCGGACUCGGCGAUCACGUCGCCGGCCGAGAACUCGUGCUGGCGGAACCGGUUGGCCAGCGCGUCCAGCACCUCCAUCUCGUCGAAUCCGCGCAGCAGCGGCAGCUCGCCCAGCUCGGCCGGGAUGACGCGGACGUCGGCGCCGGUCUUGGUGAACUCGAUCCGGCCGUCGCCGACGGUGUAGCUCAGGCGCCGGUUGACGCGGUACACGCCGCCGUUGACCUGGGUCCAGGGCAGCACGCGCAGCAGCCAGCGCGAGGUGAUGCCCUGCAUCUGGGGCACGGACUUGGUCGUGGUGGACAGGUUCCGCGCGGCGGCGGUGCCCAGGCUCAGCUGGGACUGCCCUU